This 208-nucleotide ribosomal RNA is filed under the name uncultured Acidobacteriota bacterium. RNAcentral describes it as "uncultured Acidobacteria bacterium partial 16S ribosomal RNA". It matches the Rfam family "Bacterial small subunit ribosomal RNA", at positions 568 to 775 of the family's 1533-position model. The record is from RNAcentral. Lineage: Bacteria; Pseudomonadati; Acidobacteriota.
CGCGUAGGCGGUUUUGCAAGUCAGAUGUGAAAGCCCCGGGCUUAACUCGGGAAUUGCAUCUGAAACUGCUUAACUUGAGUCCUGGAUGGGGUAGUGGAAUUCCCAGUGUAGCGGUGAAAUGCGUAGAUAUUGGGAGGAACACCUGCGGCGAAGGCGGCUACCUGGACAGUGACUGACGCUGAGGCGCGAAAGCUAGGGGAGCGAACGG